GUUUCUACACAAAGGUUAGCAGCGUUCAUAAUGUAACUUACAAUCGUUCCUUUCUUUCCCAAACAGAAACGGUUUCUGUUCACUUUCAGUGGAUAAGGAUGGCUACAGCUGCACAUUUACAGCAAAAGUGCUUGCUUAUCACUCCACAUUUACGGAUAACACUGAAUUAGAUAUAAAGCUGUGUGAACUUAACCAGUGUACGCUUUUGAACUCCAAUUACAAGCCAGCACACCACAUCAAACCAAUCACUCCAUAUAAUGUGACAGUGCAGUAUGAAAAUGGGAACUAUACCUUUGCAUGGAGUAGUGGAUAUGAGAAACACAGCUAUGUUUCAGUCUUGCCUUUUCAGUACAUUUUGAGAUACCACCAAGUGGGACAAUCUACAAAGAAGGACCUGCAUAUGACAGAAACCGUGUACAGGAUCUCAGAGACUCUUUUUGAUCCAGGGACUGAAUACAUCGCUAGGGUUUAUAAUAAAAUUAUUCCAAAUGAUAAUUAUCAUGGGACAAUGAGUCACGGGAGCGCUGAGAUCAGAUGGAACACCCCACAAGCAGCAACAACUAUGCAGGGAAUCAUGGUUCUGAUUUGUUCGGCAGUAGGACUAGUGUCUCUCUUGUUAUUCCCUGUUGCAAGGUAACCCCUGUGUUUUCCCUCUUACAGUCUCAGAAACACUUUGCUUGCUCAGUUGAUGACUUUAACUGUGGCAUGGAUGUUGGUGCCAGACAGGUUGGUUUGAGUAUUUCAGAAACUGCUGUGAAUCUCCUGGGAUUUUCACACACAACAGUCUCUAGAGUUUGCACAGAGAAUGGUGCGAAAAUCAAAAAAAAAAAAAAGAACAAAAAUGAAAUAAAUCCAGUAAGUGUCAUUUCUGUGGGCGGAAAUGCCCUGUUGACGUUCAGGCUCACUGAAACCGGACAGCUGAAGAUUGUAAAGACAGGUGAUGUUUUUUCCCGUCUUCAGAGGUGGGUCUGUGCCUACUGUAGUGUCAGAUUCUCGAUGCUGGCUGACAGGAAUGAAACCUUCUGUUGUCGUAGCCCAUCUGUUUUAAAGUUUGGUGUUACCUAUUUAACUUCCAACCAGCAUUGUCUGUAGGACACAUCGAGAAAAUGACGUGCCCAUCAAUAAUCGAUAUAUCGAUGUUUCAUGACAUCCCUAGUCCUAAAACAUCAGAUAAUUUGCAAUAUAUUCCAUUACUCAUAGCGAGAAAGCACUGAAACAGUGGGUAUGCCUGAUUUUGCGUCUAUGUGUGAGCUACCUUUACGAUAAGAGAGAAGUGUUAUCAAUGCCAUUUUGAAUUCCAGAAUGAAGAUUAAAAAGAUCGCGUGGGUAAAACCUCCAGCUCCAUCCAUCUCGCCACUGAACCAAACAGCUCAGGGCAGUUUACAGUUUUCGCUGUCCAAAUCUCAUGUGCAUCAGAUUUACAGUGAGGAAAUUUCAACAAUCGACAUGAUAAUAGAGAUCACAGCCAGACAGCAGCUUCAAGAACAUUCCUCAGUCAUUUAUUCCCAAUGUCACACGCCUUACGUGGGUCCUUUAAUGGAAGUCUGGGCGCCCUGCCUGACGCCCGACUCGCGCAACACUGCUAACAAUCCUUGUAACGAUCCUGAUUUCCUGCCUGACGACGGUGAUGUUGAAGAAACUCUUCUUUGCUUGAGCACGCCCACAGGUGUUGAAGGUGGUUUUGUGUCUUUGGAUGACCUGGAGCCCAGCCUUGAGAUCCGCAAGGACUCGGAAACGUUCACUAAUACACUGAACCCUGCGUGUUUCUCUCAGAAUUAUUGCACUUUAACCAACACAGCUGUUGGACUUAUUCCUACAUUUUGCACAGUGCAGUGUGUUCCUAAUCUCGGUUUAGAGCUAAACGGUCAUACUUCACCUGAUCUGUUCAAUAUGCAGAUAGAGGAGAGUACACCAGAAUUGGACACAGUGACUCUUGACAAUUUGCAGCUGUCUGUGGAUGAAUGACUAUAUACUGUACAUGCAAUAUGACCUGAAUGAAAUGCAACUUUCUGUAAAUACUGCAUUCUCUUAUUCUUCUUCAGUUUAUGGCAUAUUCUUAAGAGUUUCAGCGGAUCACAGCCUUGUGCCAUCUGUUGUGCCAUGGUUCUGUGUUUGUCUUUCAGUACGUUCGACUUUAUACAAGGGAAUGUGCUGCCCUCUGCUGCCUGACCAUAUUUUUGUGGCAGGAUCCCUCAGUUUUCAGCACAGAUUUAAUUCAUGGAUGCCAUCCGACUAAGGUAUUACGCAAACGUGUACUUAUCUAGAACCCUUAGGACUUCUAUGGUUCAUACAGUUGUGCCCAAAAGUUUGCGUACCCCUUGCAGAAUCUGCUCAAUCUUAACACUGCUAACAAAAUAAGAGGAUCAUAAAAAUCCCAUAUUGUUUUUUAUUUAGUUCUGUCCUGAAUAAGCUAUUUCACAUGUUUACAUCUAAUGCACAAGACAAGAUUACAGCUGAAUUUACACAAAUGAACUAGUUGAAAAGUUUACACAACGCUUGAAUCUUAAUACAGUGUG
This is a long non-coding RNA of Ictalurus punctatus (channel catfish), 2516 nucleotides long. The record is from Ensembl. Lineage: Eukaryota; Metazoa; Chordata; Actinopteri; Siluriformes; Ictaluridae.